UAACCACUCACAGGGUGACCUUGGAGGU
Molecule: non-coding RNA, 28 nt
Filed under: Rattus norvegicus (Norway rat)
Lineage: Eukaryota; Metazoa; Chordata; Mammalia; Rodentia; Muridae
Source: RNAcentral